Molecule: unclassified non-coding RNA, 387 nt
Filed under: soil metagenome
Description: partial contains 5.8S ribosomal RNA, internal transcribed spacer 2, and large subunit ribosomal RNA
Rfam family: 5.8S ribosomal RNA (bases 1-120)
Source: RNAcentral
GAUGAAGAACGUAGCGAAAUGCGAUAAGUAAUGUGAAUUGCAGAAUUCAGUGAAUCAUCGAAUCUUUGAACGCACCUUGCGCUCCUUGGUAUUCCGAGGAGCAUGCCUGUUUGAGUGUCAUGAAAUUCUCAACCUUUUCAGCUUUCUUUGUUGAUCAGGCUUGGAUGUGGGAGUAUGCGGGCUUCUCAGAAGUCGGCUCUCCUGAAAUGCAUUAGCGGGACCUUUGUUGCCUGGCUUUGGUGUGAUAAUUAUCUACGCCAUUGUAGUCAAGCAGCUUAAAAUGAGGUUUCAGCUUCUAACCGUCUCCCCUGAGACAACUUUUUGACAAUUUGACCUCAAAUCAGGUAGGACUACCCGCUGAACUUAAGCAUAUCAAUAAGCGGAGGA